This 253-nucleotide ribosomal RNA is filed under the name uncultured bacterium. Its description in RNAcentral is "partial 16S ribosomal RNA". It matches the Rfam family "Bacterial small subunit ribosomal RNA", at positions 524 to 776 of the family's 1533-position model. The record is from RNAcentral.
UACAUAGGGGGCAAGCGUUGUCCGGAAUCAUUGGGCGUAAAGCGCGUGUAGGCGGCUCGAUAAGUCUGCUGUGAAAGUCCAGGGCUCAACCCUGGGAUGCCGGUGGAUACUGUCGAGCUCGAGUCCGGAAGAGGCGAGUGGAAUUCCUGGUGUAGCGGUGAAAUGCGCAGAUAUCAGGAGGAACACCAAUGGCGAAGGCAGCUCGCUGGGACGGUACUGACGCUGAGACGCGAAAGCGUGGGGAGCAAACAGG